RNAcentral lists this ribosomal RNA (497 nucleotides) under uncultured bacterium. RNAcentral describes it as "partial 16S ribosomal RNA". It matches the Rfam family "Bacterial small subunit ribosomal RNA", at positions 28 to 507 of the family's 1533-position model. The record is from RNAcentral.
GAUGAACGCUGGCGGCGUGCCUAAUACAUGCAAGUCGAGCGAACAGACGAGGAGCUUGCUCCUCUGACGUUAGCGGCGGACGGGUGAGUAACACGUGGAUAACCUACCUAUAAGACUGGGAUAACUUCGGGAAACCGGAGCUAAUACCGGAUAAUAUAUUGAACCGCAUGGUUCAAUAGUGAAAGACGGUUUUACUGUCACUUAUAGAUGGAUCCGCGCCGCAUUAGCUAGUUGGUAAGGUAACGGCUUACCAAGGCAACGAUGCGUAGCCGACCUGAGAGGGUGAUCGGCCACACUGGAACUGAGACACGGUCCAGACUCCUACGGGAGGCAGCAGUAGGGAAUCUUCCGCAAUGGGCGAAAGCUUGACGGAGCAACGCCGCGUGAGUGAUGAAGGUCUUCGGAUCGUAAAACUCUGUUAUUAGGGAAGAACAAAUGUGUAAGUAACCAUGCACGUCUUGACGGUACCUAAUCAGAAAGCCACGGCUAACUACGUG